GGAGAGAUGGUCGAGUUGGUUGAAGGCACCAGUCUUGAAAACUGGCGAAGGUUUGCGCUUUCCGUGGGUUCGAAUCCCACUCUCUCCGCCA
RNAcentral lists this transfer RNA (91 nucleotides) under Clostridiaceae bacterium. Its description in RNAcentral is "tRNA-Ser". It matches the Rfam family "tRNA". From Rfam's summary of the family: Transfer RNA (tRNA) molecules are approximately 80 nucleotides in length. Their secondary structure includes four short double-helical elements and three loops (D, anti-codon, and T loops). Lineage: Bacteria; Bacillati; Bacillota; Clostridia; Eubacteriales; Clostridiaceae. RNAcentral also lists the same sequence under 4 other names. The record is from RNAcentral.